RNAcentral lists this ribosomal RNA (497 nucleotides) under uncultured bacterium. Its description in RNAcentral is "partial 16S ribosomal RNA". It matches the Rfam family "Bacterial small subunit ribosomal RNA", at positions 28 to 507 of the family's 1533-position model. The record is from RNAcentral.
GAUGAACGCUGGCGGCGUGCCUAAUACAUGCAAGUCGAGCGAACAGAUAAGGAGCUUGCUCCUUUGACGUUAGCGGCGGACGGGUGAGUAACACGUGGAUAACCUACCUAUAAGACUGGGAUAACUUCGGGAAACCGGAGCUAAUACCGGAUAACAUAUUGAACCGCAUGGUUCAAUAGUGAAAGGCGGCUUUGCUGUCACUUAUAGAUGGAUCCGCGCCGUAUUAGCUAGUUGGUAAGGUAACGGCUUACCAAGGCAACGAUACGUAGCCGACCUGAGAGGGUGAUCGGCCACACUGGAACUGAGACACGGUCCAGACUCCUACGGGAGGCAGCAGUAGGGAAUCUUCCGCAAAGGGCGAAAGCCUGACGGAGCAACGCCGCGUGAGUGAUGAAGGUCUUCGGAUCGUAUAACUCUGUUAUCAGGGAAGAACAAAUGUGUAAGUAACUGUGCACAUCUUGACGGUACCUGAUCAGAAAGCCACGGCUAACUACGUG